Molecule: ribosomal RNA, 427 nt
Filed under: uncultured bacterium
Lineage: Bacteria
Description: bacterial SSU rRNA
Rfam family: Bacterial small subunit ribosomal RNA
Source: RNAcentral
UGGGGAAUUUUGGACAAUGGGCGCAAGCCUGAUCCAGCAAUGCCGCGUGCAGGAUGAAGGCCUUCGGGUUGUAAACUGCUUUUGUACGGAGCGAAAAGGUCUGCCCUAAUACGGUGGGCUCAUGACGGUACCGUAAGAAUAAGCACCGGCUAACUACGUGCCAGCAGCCGCGGUAAUACGUAGGGUGCAAGCGUUAAUCGGAAUUACUGGGCGUAAAGCGUGCGCAGGCGGUUAUGUAAGCCAGAUGUGAAAGCCCCGGGCUCAACCUGGGACCUGCAUUUGUGACUGCAGAGCUAGAGUACGGCAGAGGGGGGUGGAAUUCCGGGUGUAGCGGUGAAAUGCGUAGAUAUGCGGAGGAACACCGAUGGCGAAGGCGAUCCCCUGGGCCGGUACUGACGCUGAGGUACGAAAGCGUGGGGAGCAAACA